Molecule: long non-coding RNA, 454 nt
Organism: Phragmites australis (common reed)
Lineage: Eukaryota; Viridiplantae; Streptophyta; Magnoliopsida; Poales; Poaceae
Exons: 2
Source: RefSeq, a predicted model, not a curated record
GAGCUCGCCGCUGGUCGAUUCGACCCCAUGGCUAGCUCAUCAACAUCAAUGCGCCAGAGGGUGGCGGGUCUCCGCUCAUUUUUUGCCCAAAUUGAGGAUGGAGGAAGGUGGUAGAGCACGAAUCAUCCACUCCAGCGAACCCCGGUUGCAUCUUGUACACAUGCCGAAGUCACAAGCUAUCGAUUUUGGUUCUGGGAGGAAGACUACGACAAGUAUCUGAUGAGGAAGGGCUACAUUUCUGAGAAAGGAUGAACUAAAUCCAAGAGGAGCUGUGAGGAAUUGAAGGGAGUAUGUGGUCAAAUGCCAAAAGUGAUAGAAUUGAUCAUAGUUUCAAAGGAAAUAGCUAGAUUGUUAAAGGCUAUCCUUGUUGUAUGCGUGUGUAUCUUGUGUGUUUUGUGGAUGUUGCUGUCAUAUCAGGUCAGCAAGUGAAAUCUCCAGGGAAAUUAUAAUGGAA